CAAAAAGGGGAAGAGGAGGACAUUACCGAGUUUACAACUCCCAAACCCAAUGUGAACAUUACCUCGACGUUGCCUCGGCGGGACCGCCCCGGCGCCCUCACCGGCACCGGAACCAGGCGCCCGCCGCAGGGACCCAAACCUCUGUUUUAUUAUGAAUUCUCCUCUGAGUGGAUUUUAUACAAAUAAAUCAAAACUUUCAACAACGGAUCUCUUGGCUCUGGCAUCGAUGAAGAACGCAGCGAAAUGCGAUAAGUAAUGUGAAUUGCAGAAUUCAGUGAAUCAUCGAAUCUUUGAACGCACAUUGCGCCCGCCAGCAUUCUGGCGGGCAUGCCUGUCCGAGCGUCAUUUCAACCCUCAGGCUCCCGCGCCUGGCGUUGGGGAUCGGCCUUCACCGGCCGGCCCCGAAAUACAGUGGCGGCCCCGCCGUAGACCUCCUCUGCGUAGUAGCACACACCUCGCAGCCUGGGAGCGCGGCGGCGGCCACGCCGGAAAACCCCCGACUUCUGAAAGUUGACCUCGGAUCAGGUAGGAAUACCCGCUGAACUUAAGCAUAUCAAUAAGCGGAGGAAAGUAGCCCCCCUCUACUUAACUUUUUCUCCGGGAAAAAACGAGGAACCCUCACGAGGGGCCCAUGCAAAAAGAUCGUCGCGCCGUUGCUGACGUGUUGAACACAAAGGCCGAUCGACCCCACGACCCUAGACUAGACCCUGU
Molecule: ribosomal RNA, 711 nt
Filed under: Striaticonidium cinctum
Lineage: Eukaryota; Fungi; Ascomycota; Sordariomycetes; Hypocreales; Stachybotryaceae
Description: eukaryotic LSU rRNA
Rfam family: 5.8S ribosomal RNA (bases 192-345)
Source: RNAcentral